Molecule: non-coding RNA, 2251 nt
Organism: Vigna umbellata (rice bean)
Lineage: Eukaryota; Viridiplantae; Streptophyta; Magnoliopsida; Fabales; Fabaceae
Source: RefSeq, a predicted model, not a curated record
AUCGGAUCAGCUAUCGGGUCGGGUUAGAAAAGUGACAAUAACGGCGUGAAUGAUUGGUCAUUGCUACAAGUGUCUGCCCUGAAGUGAUCCCCAAGGACGCCGAAUCUGGCGCAAUAUAGCCCACGCCACCGUAUUUGGGUCAGUCGGAGCCUCCGUCAUGGAAGUCACAAAAGAUCCUAACUCAAACCCGGGUCGCUUGGACGAUUCAGAUCCCGAACUCGAACUCUACACCAUCCCAAGCUCUUCAAGAUGGUUCGCGUGGGACGAAAUUCAUGAAACGGAGAGAACAGCAUUCAAGGAAUUCUUCGACGCGAGCUCGAUUUCGAGAACGCCCAAGAUAUACAAAGAAUACAGAGACUUCAUCAUCAACAAGUACAGGGAAGAGCCUUCCAGGAGGCUCACAUUCACCGAGGUCAGAAAAUCGCUGGUUGGUGACGUCACGUUUCUGCACAAGGCGUUCCAUUUCCUAGAGAAUUGGGGCUUGAUCAACUACGGCGCGCCCCCUGCUGCAGACGCAGAGAAGGAGGAGGAGGAGGAGCCGUGCAAAGUUCGCCUCGAAGAAGGAACCCCCAAUGGGAUUCGGGUGGCGGCCACACCGAACUCGUUGAAGCCGAUGUUGUUGCCUCGCGGUGCGAAGACUAGUGCAAAUGCGACCGGGGCUUCUCUCAAAUUGCCGCCGCUCGCCUCCUAUUCGGAUAUUUAUAGGGAUUUGAUUAGGCAGAAAGAGGGGAGCUGUGGACUUUGUGGUGGCAAAUGUGGUUCAGGACAUUACCGUUGUACCCAGGAUAAUUUCAUUAUUUGUGCAAAUUGUUUCAAAAGUGGGAAUUAUGGGGAGAAAAGGUCUGCAGAGGAUUUCGUAUUGAGUGAGUCAAGUGAAAACAGUGGCAAGCAUGACACUGUCUGGACUGAGGGAGAAAUCCUUCUCCUUUUGGAAUCUGUUUUGAAGCAUGGGGAUGACUGGGAACUGGUUGCUCAAAGUGUUCAAACCAAGACUAAACUUGAUUGUAUCUCAAAACUCAUUGAGCUGCCUUUUGGAGAGCUCAUGUUGGGCCCUGCUCACAGAAAUGUCAACGUUAGUGGUGCUAAUGGUACCGUGGUGAACAAUGCAAAACAAGUUCAGUCAUCUUCAUCUGACUACCAAGAAAUUUCAAAAACAAAGGAUCAACCUCCUGAGCUUACAAAAGAAAUUGAGCAGAACGGAGAUGCUGUGAAGGAAAGUCCUUCAAAAAGACAGCGUGUUACUCCCCUGUCAGAUUCCAGUGGUUUUCUAAUGAAUCAGGUGGGACUGAUCUCUAAUGUGGUUGACCCUCAUAUCACAGCUGCUGCAGCUGAUGCUGCUGUUUCAGCUCUUUGUGAUGAGAAUUUGUGUCCAAGGGAGAUAUUUGAUGUUGAAGAAGAUUCAGCAAGAGAUCUUGAGGGAGAAGGUUUAGAGAUGGAGAGGUCCUCUAUAUCAGGUGGACAUUGUAUUAGGAAACCAUAUCAGGGAGAGCAAGGGUUACACAAUGGUGAGUUCAUGUUCCUUGUCAGAUGAAGGUUUGAGUCAGUACCUUGUGAUGGGGUAUUAUAACUAUUUGGAUGGGAUUGAGUUGCUAGAAGUUAAAUUCUUCAAUUGGCUAAGCCAAAAAACCAAGGGUCUGCAAGUAUAUUUGCAUAGGCCUAAGAGACCAAAAACUGGUUAAAAAGUAUUUUUUUGCCAGCAGUCAAAAUAUAUGGAUAUGCUACAAGGGGGUAUCGACCCACAUACUAAAAAUCAAGAGGACGAUCAACAAUUCAGGGAGGAUUUUAUAUCUUAUUUACCGUUACACUAGUAAAUAGUAAUAACCAAGAAAUCUUCCUACUUGAGCCCAUAACAAACAUAAAAUACGGCAACUACAGGCGAAGGAAAAAAGUCACUGUAUACACAUUCAUGCCUACCCUGCCAGCUAUCUGAACCAAUUAUCUUCUCUUCCUCCCCUUUCAAGCAUGCUUCUUAUUACAAUCCUGUGAGACAUGAUCCUGGACUGAAAUCCCAUUGUAUAUACAUCAUGUUAAUACACUGAUCCAGGCUAUUGGUCUUUCCUUGAAGUACACCCAAGUUACGCUCCUUCCAGAGGCUCCAAACAAAUGCAGACCACAGUAAGUUGGGGGACAGAGAAGAAAUACCUUUGCCACUGCGUGUAAGAGCCGCCACUGCAACUGCUCUUGGAGCUGCUGCUGCUCGAGCAAAGUUGUUGGCAGACCAGGAAGUCAGAGAGAUUGAACAUUUAGUGGC